AUGGAUCAUAAGCCAUAUUAUCAAUCAUUAACGUGUUGAAGUCUUAGUAGAAGUGGAAAAAAACUCAGCUCUCAAUAUCAAUGAUACAUUCUAGAAUAAUGAUGUAGAAUGGGUGGGGCAGAAAUAGGGAUUGUUUUCUGCAUCAUUACAUUUUGUAUCUUUGGGCACACACGAAUUCACGGAAUUGUACAACAGGCUGAACAUCAGACUGAGGAAGGGAAUCUUCUCUAAGAACUUGUGUUCGUAGGGCUGCACAUCAGCAAAUCCAGUCAUGAAAUGGAAACCUCUCAUGUUUCAGGCCACCAACCAGCUGAAAACAAAAUGUGAUGUGAACUUCUGAAGCCCCAAUAAUGGUGAUUUUAGAGAAGACCUGUCAGCCACCUUCCAUUACUGAGGUUGUUGAGAAGGUCAAAUGCAAGAAGGAAGAAGGCUCCCUCACCUGGACAAGCUACUAAAUUUGCAAAGUCCAGUACAAAAUGAAAGUGUAGGGUCCGGUGUACAAAAGUCAUUAGGAAUGUCAAGACUGGAACGUUAAAUCAAGCGCGGGACUCUUCUCAGUACAGAGCCUGUGCAACCGCACAGCCAGCACGCCCUCGAAGCCGGCCCUGGAGCCCGAAGGAGCGGAGCGUUUGCACACAGUAGGUGCUAAAUAAGUGCUCUUCACCUUUGUGUCAGCACAGUCCUAGAGCUCUCGUGCGCUAGCACGGUAACGUUGACCAUAACACUGACCACUCGCUGUCACUUGUGCGUGCCUGGCAGAAGGACAAGACCUGGA
This is a long non-coding RNA of Neogale vison (American mink), 775 nucleotides long. RefSeq lists it as uncharacterized. NCBI's taxonomy places the organism in Eukaryota, Metazoa, Chordata, Mammalia, Carnivora, Mustelidae. The transcript has 3 exons. The record is from RefSeq and is a predicted model, not a curated record.